GGGCAACCUGCCCUCUAGAUGGGGACAACAUCCCGAAAGGGGUGCUAAUACCGAAUGUGACAGCAAUCUCGCAUGAGGAUGCUGUGAAAGAUGGCCUCUAUUUAUAAGCUAUCGCUAGAGGAUGGGCCUGCGUCUGAUUAGCUAGUUGGUGGGGUAACGGCCUACCAAGGCGAUGAUCAGUAGCCGGUCUGAGAGGAUGAACGGCCACAUUGGGACUGAGACACGGCCCAGACUCCUACGGGAGGCAGCAGUGGGGAAUCUUCCGCAAUGGGCGAAAGCCUGACGGAGCAAUGCCGCGUGAGUGAUGAAGGAAUUCGUUCCGUAAAGCUCUUUUGUUUAUGACGAAUGUGCAGGUUGUGAAUAAUGACUUGUAAUGACGGUAGUAAACGAAUAAGCCACGGCUAACUACGUGCCAGCAGCCGCGGUAAUACGUAGGUGGCGAGCGUUGUCCGGAAUUAUUGGGCGUAAAGAGCAUGUAGGCGGUUUUUUAAGUCUGGAGUGAAAAUGCGGGGCUCAACCCCGUAUGGCUCUGGAUACUGGAAGACUUGAGUGCAGGAGAGGAAAGGGGAAUUCCCAGUGUAGCGGUGAAA
Molecule: ribosomal RNA, 590 nt
Filed under: uncultured bacterium
Lineage: Bacteria
Description: bacterial SSU rRNA
Rfam family: Bacterial small subunit ribosomal RNA
Source: RNAcentral